This 200-nucleotide ribosomal RNA is filed under the name uncultured bacterium. RNAcentral describes it as "partial 16S ribosomal RNA". It matches the Rfam family "Bacterial small subunit ribosomal RNA", at positions 157 to 353 of the family's 1533-position model. The record is from RNAcentral.
CGAAUGCUAAUACCGCAUAAAACUUAAACACAAGUUUAAGUUUGAAAGAUGCAAUUGCAUCACUCAAAGAUGAUCCCGCGUUGUAUUAGCUAGUUGGUGAGGUAAAGGCUCACCAAGGCGAUGAUACAUAGCCGACCUGAGAGGGUGAUCGGCCACAUUGGGACUGAGACACGGCCCAAACUCCUACGGGAGGCAGCAUG